AUACGGAGGUUGCAAGCGUUAAUCGGAAUUACUGGGCGUAAAGCGUACGUAGGCGGUCCGUUAAGUUAGAUGUGAAAGCCCCGGGCUUAACCUGGGAACUGCAUUUAAAACUGGCGAACUAGAGUUGAGUAGAGGGGAGUGGAAUUUCAGGUGUAGCGGUGAAAUGCGUAGAGAUCUGAAGGAACACCAGUGGCGAAGGCGACUCCUGGACUCGAACUGACGCUGAGGUACGAAAGCGUGGGUAGCAAACGGGAUUAGAAACCCCAGUAGUCC
Molecule: ribosomal RNA, 273 nt
Filed under: uncultured bacterium
Lineage: Bacteria
Description: partial 16S ribosomal RNA
Rfam family: Bacterial small subunit ribosomal RNA
Source: RNAcentral